RNAcentral lists this ribosomal RNA (404 nucleotides) under Actinomycetes bacterium. RNAcentral describes it as "Actinobacteria bacterium partial 16S ribosomal RNA". It matches the Rfam family "Bacterial small subunit ribosomal RNA", at positions 355 to 776 of the family's 1533-position model. Lineage: Bacteria; Bacillati; Actinomycetota; Actinomycetes. The record is from RNAcentral.
UGGGGAAUAUUGGACAAUGGGCGCAAGCCUGAUCCAGCCAUGCCGCGUGAGUGAUGAAGGCCCUAGGGUUGUAAAGCUCUUUCACCGGUGAAGAUAAUGACGGUAACCGGAGAAGAAGCCCCGGCUAACUUCGUGCCAGCAGCCGCGGUAAUACGAAGGGGGCUAGCGUUGUUCGGAUUUACUGGGCGUAAAGCGCACGUAGGCGGACUUUUAAGUCAGGGGUGAAAUCCCGGGGCUCAACCCCGGAACUGCCUUUGAUACUGGAAGUCUUGAGUAUGGUAGAGGUGAGUGUAAUUACGAGUGUAGAGGUGAAAUUCGUAAAUAUUCGGAGGAACACCAGUGGCGAAGGCGGCUCACUGGACCAUUACUGACGCUGAGGUGCGAAAGCGUGGGGAGCAAACAGG